This 1401-nucleotide ribosomal RNA is filed under the name Methanolobus profundi. RNAcentral describes it as "bacterial LSU rRNA". It matches the Rfam family "Archaeal large subunit ribosomal RNA", at positions 1607 to 2987 of the family's 2987-position model. Lineage: Archaea; Methanobacteriati; Methanobacteriota; Methanomicrobia; Methanosarcinales; Methanosarcinaceae. The record is from RNAcentral.
GUCUAAGCACCGAAUCCCGUGGAGAGCCGUAAUGGCGAGAAGCGGGCGAAUGUGUUAUGGCGAAAGUCAGCUGCACCCGGGAACCCGUGAAAAGGAAGUCAUGGGUCCGUACCGAGAACUGACACAGGUGCCCCUAGCUGAAAAGGCUAAGGCGUGUCGGAACAAUUUGGCUAAGGGAAUUCGGCAAAUUAGCUCCGUAACUUCGGGAGAAGGAGUGCCUGCUGUGAAGACAGCAGGUCGCAGUGACAAGAGAGCUCUAACUGUCUAAUAUCAACAUAGGAGAUCGCAAACCCGUAAGGGCUAGUACGAUCUCUGAAUCCUGCUCAGUGCAGGUACCUGAAACCCCAGUUCAAUGGGACGAAGGGCCUGUAAACAGCGGGGGUAACUAUGACCCUCUUAAGGUAGCGUAGUACCUUGUCGCUUAAUUGGCGACUCGCAUGAAUGGAUCAAUGAGAGCUCUACUGUCCCUAGCCAGAGUCCGGUGAAGCUUACUUUCUAGUGCACAGUCUAGAGACCUCUAGGGGGAAGUGAAGACCCCGUGGAGCUUUACUGCAGCCUGUCGUUGGGUUGUGAUUUUGGAUGUACAGUGUAGGUAGGAGACGUCGAAGUCGGUGCGCCAGCAUCGAUGGAGUCGCCAUUGGGACACUACCCUUCUGAAAUUACGACCCUAACUCCGAGAGGAGGACCCCGAUAGGUGGGCAGUUUGCCUGGGGCGGGACGCCCUUGAAAAGAUAUCAAGGGCGCACAAAGGUUGACUCAAGUGGGUCGGAAACCCACUGAAGAGUGCAAGAGCAUAAGUCAGCCUGACGUUAUUCAGCACAGUAGUGGAUGACGAGACGAAAGUCGGUUCUAGCGAACUUUUGAGCUCGCUUGGUGCGAGCCAAAAAUGACAGAAAAGUUACCCCGGGGAUAAUUGAGUUGUUGCCGGCAAGAGCACAUAUCGACCCGGCAGCUUGCUACUUCGAUGUCGGUUCUUUCCAUCCUGGCCGUGCAGCAGCGGCCAAGGGUGAGGUUGUUCGCCUAUUAAAGGAGAUCGUGAGCUGGGUUUAGACCGUCGUGAGACAGGUCGGUUACUAUCUACUAGAGGUGUCUGUGGUCUGAGGGUAAGCUACUUUUAGUACGAGAGGAACAGAGUAGCGGCGCCACUGGUGUAUCAGUUGUCCGACAGGGCAUCGCUGAGCAGCUACGCGCUAAGGAAUAAGAGCUGAAUGCAUCUAAGCUCGAAAUCUGACUUGAAAAGAGACCACGUUAAGGAUUCCGGUACAAGACCGGUUUGAUAGGGUCGGGAUGUACGCACCAAGGCAACGAGGUGUUGAGUCCGCGGCUACUAAUCAUCCGUGCCUGUCCGUCUUGCUUUGUCCAGGCGAAAUCUGAUAUGUGCAUGUUUAUUAUACACUUUCA